AUAAAAGUGACUCAACUCCUCUGUCUUCAAACAUUGAUGAGUCAACCAUCUUGGGGCGCAAUAAAAUGUCUCGUAUGAUGAACUAUUUAAUAAAUGAAGGAACGAGGACUCCAGAAAUAAUGGAACCUGUGUUAUCAGCUUUAGAAGAUUUGGUUGCAAAUGUUCGUCAAAAAUGUGGAGUCGAAGAAGAAACUAGUAUUGACAAGAAUGUUGAGGGUGGUGAAAGCAAUCUAUUGUUCAAUGCACAUUCUAAGAACUCUUACGUAGUACUUGAUCCGAUGGUUGUUAGUACUAAAGGCCGAACGAGUAAAAGAUAUAAAUCUGGCAGGGAGGAGAAUAGUAAGUUAUGUCGUGGGUGUAACAAGUGGGUUAUUGGGCAUGAUAAACGAAAUUGUCCUAUAUAUAACCAACUUGAUAAUGCAUCUGAAGAAGCCAGGUAUAUAUUUUUUUCUUGUAUUUUUAUUUGAUUUCUUACAUACAUUGCAUUAUUUUAAACUACAUUCAUUAUCUCCACAGUUAUGGCAGUAACGUUGAAAGAGGAAAGGGAAAAGCAGUUGGUAGGCCAAGAGGAAAAAAUAUAGUACAGGGUCGUGGUAGGAUGUUAAAUCAAGAUUGAUCGGUACCAAAGGCAUGGUGUCUUAAAUGUCUACAAGCUUGCGCCAUCGGCUACAUGAAUAACUUGAAAUUGUUUACUAAGAAGAUACCUAUUAUAGAUUACGGA
Long non-coding RNA from Magnolia sinica, 721 nucleotides. RefSeq lists it as uncharacterized. The record is from RefSeq and is a predicted model, not a curated record. Lineage: Eukaryota; Viridiplantae; Streptophyta; Magnoliopsida; Magnoliales; Magnoliaceae. The transcript is spliced from 3 exons.